This 472-nucleotide ribosomal RNA is filed under the name uncultured bacterium. RNAcentral describes it as "bacterial SSU rRNA". It matches the Rfam family "Bacterial small subunit ribosomal RNA", at positions 20 to 518 of the family's 1533-position model. The record is from RNAcentral.
UGGCUCAGGACGAACGCUGGCGGCGUGCCUAACACAUGCAAGUCGAGCGAAGAACUCGGUCUUAGCGGCGGACGGGUGAGUAACACGUGGGUAACCUGCCUCAAAGAGGGGGAUAGCCUCCCGAAAGGGAGAUUAAUACCGCAUAACAUUAGAUCUUCGCAUGGAGAUUUAAUUAAAGGAGCAAUCCGCUUUGAGAUGGACCCGCGGCGCAUUAGCUAGUUGGUGAGGUAACGGCUCACCAAGGCGACGAUGCGUAGCCGACCUGAGAGGGUGAUCGGCCACAUUGGAACUGAGACACGGUCCAGACUCCUACGGGAGGCAGCAGUGGGGAAUAUUGCACAAUGGGCGAAAGCCUGAAUGCAGCAACGCCGCGUGAGUGAUGAAGGCCUUCGGGUUGUAAAACUCUGUCUUUGGGGACGAUAAUGACGGUACCCAAGGAGGAAGCCACGGCUAACUACGUGCCAGCCGCCGC